CGCGGCCUAUCAGCUUGUUGGUGGGGUAAUGGCCCACCAAGGCGACGACGGGUAGCCGGCCUGAGAGGGCGACCGGCCACACUGGGACUGAGACACGGCCCAGACUCCUACGGGAGGCAGCAGUGGGGAAUAUUGCACAAUGGGCGAAAGCCUGAUGCAGCGACGCCGCGUGAGGGAUGACGGCCUUCGGGUUGUAAACCUCUUUCAGCAGGGAAGAAGCGAAAGUGACGGUACCUGCAGAAGAAGCGCCGGCUAACUACGUGCCAGCAGCCGCGGUAAUACGUAGGGCGCAAGCGUUGUCCGGAAUUAUUGGGCGUAAAGAGCUCGUAGGCGGCUUGUCACGUCGGAUGUGAAAGCCCGAGGCUUAACCUCGGGUCUGCAUUCGAUACGGGCUAGCUAGAGUGUGGUAGGGGAGAUCGGAAUUCCUGGUGUAGCGGUGAAAUGCGCAGAUAUCAGGAGGAACACCGGUGGCGAAGGCGGAUCUCUGGGCCAUUACUGACGCUGAGGAGCGAAAGCGUGGGGAGCGAACAGGAUUAGAUACCCUGGUAGUCCACGCCGUAAACGUUGGGAACUAGGUGUUGGCGACAUUCCACGUCGUCGGUGCCGCAGCUAACGCAUUAAGUUCCCCGCCUGGGGAGUACGG
RNAcentral lists this ribosomal RNA (643 nucleotides) under uncultured Actinomycetes bacterium. RNAcentral describes it as "bacterial SSU rRNA". It matches the Rfam family "Bacterial small subunit ribosomal RNA", at positions 232 to 885 of the family's 1533-position model. The record is from RNAcentral. Lineage: Bacteria; Bacillati; Actinomycetota; Actinomycetes.